Molecule: ribosomal RNA, 430 nt
Filed under: uncultured bacterium
Lineage: Bacteria
Description: partial 16S ribosomal RNA
Rfam family: Bacterial small subunit ribosomal RNA
Source: RNAcentral
AACGAACGCUGGCGGCAGGCCUAACACAUGCAAGUCGAGCGCCCUUUCGGGGGAGCGGCGGACGGGUGAGUAACGCGUGGGAAUAUGCCCUUCUCUACGGAAUAGCCUCGGGAAACUGAGAGUAAUACCGUAUACGCCCUGUGGGGGAAAGAUUUAUCGGGGAAGGAUUAGCCCGCGUUGGAUUAGGUAGUUGGUGGGGUAAUGGCCUACCAAGCCGACGAUCCAUAGCUGGUUUGAGAGGAUGAUCAGCCACACUGGGACUGAGACACGGCCCAGACUCCUACGGGAGGCAGCAGUGGGGAAGCUUAGACAAUGGGGGCAACCCUGAUCUAGCCAUGCCGCGUGAGUGAUGAAGGCCUUAGGGUGGUAAAGCUCUUUCAGCUGGGAAGAUAAUGACGGUACCAGCAGAAGAAGCCCCGGCUAACUCCGU